This 2268-nucleotide small RNA is filed under the name Pongo abelii (Sumatran orangutan). RNAcentral's name for it is "retained intron". Lineage: Eukaryota; Metazoa; Chordata; Mammalia; Primates; Hominidae. The record is from RNAcentral.
UAAAUAUCAUGCCCAAACUAAGGUACUAUCUUAGUUCAAGUUAGAUAAAACUCAAUCCACAAAAAUCUCUAGAGAUUUGGCAGAACUAAUGAAGAAACAGUGCUUAAAGUGAGACGAUCUAAUCAGAGCUCUAAUCCUUGGCUAAAAUUUGUUUCAACAUACGAAGCCUUUUGGUUUACAGUGUGUAACUGCAUCCUAUAAUUAUGUAUUUUCAAAUUCUUCCUUCUGGAAUCUGUUGCUAAUCAUCCUGCUUAUACAUACUUGAGGUUUAAUGCUUGAAUGUUGUUGACUGCUAAACAACUGUCAGUGAAGUCAGCCUUUUUCCCUUGCACUGGAGUAGCAAGUAGAAUUUAUAACUUAUUUCUCUAAAAUUCCAGAGCAUGUGUGUGGUGUUUGGAGUAGUGUGGAGAUUUCUCCAUCUAGUAUGUUGCUAAUCUUUAUGCCACAUCCUUUAGGGAGAGGAAGCAAAAAACAUUCCUGGUGAAUCUGUCACAGAAGAACAAUUUACCGAUGAAGAAGGCAACCUCAUCACCAGAAAAGUAAUCAUCGAGAUUUCAUGCUUCUCUUGGAAUUUAGAUUUUCUGCAUUAAAAACUCUGCUACUUUUGUGCUGUAGUGUCAUCUCCUGAAAGAAAAAUCUCUACUUUUCACCAUUACUUCCUACAGAUCACCCGGAAAGUAUUAAGACGAAUUGUUAUCCCACAAGAGAGAAAACAUGAUGAUGUGGUAAUGGAGACGGAUUGCCAAAGAGAAUGUAGAGGACAAAAGCUUUGUGCACUCCCUAGAAAUUGCUGCUAACAAGCUGGCAUCUGCAGUGUUGCAGCUUGAAGUGUUUGCUGCUUUUGACAUCUUAUGCAUUUGAUCAGGGUCAAAGAAAAAUACUUUUCUUCCUAACAUUCUUUGUUACAUACUUUUUUUUCUUUUUACUGUCUUCGGAGUUUUCACAAAGAUAAGGUCAUUUAUAGGGGACAGAAUGUGCCAGUUUGAGGGAGAAAGAAGAUAAAACCUUCACCAUUCACCACUAAACCUCAGAGCAGUGCUUCAGCCCCACCCAGGGCUUGGCCUUCAGCAGAGUGUCUGUUGGGACAGGGGCGGAGAGCACUCCAAAAGCACAGGCUUUAAAAGUUAGAAUGGCAAAAGGCUCAGUUCAAGAUCUGCACAUCGGAUCCAUACAUUUUCUCUUUCCAAUAUGUUCUGCAGGGAAAUCUGAAUUACUCCAACUUAAUCUGAGGAGGGGGUUCCCCUCUUUGGGUUUAUAACAGCCCGUUUCCAAAGUGCCAGUUAAAGAAUCCCUCCAGUCAACCCCUUUCUCUCAGAGAAAACAUCUCUGGUUAUUUUUCACUUGUUUCUCAGUUCUCUACCCUUUUCAAUUUAAAAAUAGAAACUUCAAUAGACUAUGUUUACAUUAGAAAAAGUAAACUGAAAAUUUAUCAGAAGUACAAAUCACAAAAUUGAAAAGGCUUCAUUUGUUUUCUGUUAAAAAUUGGGUAAAAACUGAGUAUUUGUGCCACAACCUUGCUCUCGGAGAACUGUAUUCCUGAUGCUCAGUGAAGAGAGGAUUUGUUUAUGCAAAAUAGAUGCUUCCUUGGUCUGACAGUAAGAGGAAGUUAUUGGCAAUUCCACUAACUUAAAAAAGUCCCUCAGAUCAACAGCAUUUCCAUGGAUUAGUACUUAACUAAGAAGUUUGAAUCUCAUUGCAACAGAUUGUUUACAAUUCUGCUGCCUUGUGAGCUGUGGUGCUGAUUUCUUUUAGCUUACUAUAGGAAAUGGAUAGCCUGCUCGUUAUUUUGAUUUAUCACUAACCUACUGAAUUACUGUCAAGUACAAUUAUGUUGUAUUCAUUUUGACAGUGCUCUCUAGCUUGCCUUGAUGAUGCUAAACUGUGUGGUUAAGCUAAAGAUUGUAUGUAUUUUUGGACAUGAAGUGACAAAGUGCUUUAAACUGUUUCACUUAUCCUAAUCCAGCCUCCAAGGAUCAGAAUGGGACUGCUUUAUAACUGAAACUGUUUCACUGUGAAAUCUUAAUAUGUACAUUCCUUUUAAAGCAGGGAGAAGGUUUUAAGGUGAAAACGAAGAAAGAAAUCCGGCAUGUGGAAAAGAAGAGCCACUCGUAACAGCGAAUGGUCAGUAAAGGAUCAUAAGUUUUUACUGCCAGUAUUGAGAAAUUCGUGGAAGAAAUGUCAGCAGGAAGUAAAAAUUCACCGAGAAGUGUGUGUGUGUUCGCUGCUUCCACACAUUAAUGGCAUGAUUUUUUUUUAUGCAAAAAGAAA